CCUACGGGAGGCAGCAGUGGGGAAUAUUGGGCAAUGGGCGCAAGCCUGACCCAGCAACGCCGCGUGAAGGAAGAAGGCUUUCGGGUUGUAAACUUCUUUUCUCAGGGACGAAGAAAGUGACGGUACCUGAGGAAUAAGCCACGGCUAACUACGUGCCAGCCGCCGCGGUAAUACGUAGGUGGCAAGCGUUAUCCGGAUUUACUGGGUGUAAAGGGAGUGUAGGCGGGAAAGCAAGUCAGAUGUGAAAACCAUGGGCUCAACCUGUGGCCUGCAUUUGAAACUGUUUUUCUUGAGUACUGGAGAGGCAGACGGAAUUCCUAGUGUAGCGGUGAAAUGCGUAGAUAUUAGGAGGAACACCAGUGGCGAAGGCGGUCUGCUGGACAGCAACUGACGCUGAGGCGCGAAAGCGUGGGGAGCAAACAGGAUUAGAUACCCUUGUAGUC
RNAcentral lists this ribosomal RNA (443 nucleotides) under uncultured bacterium. RNAcentral describes it as "partial 16S ribosomal RNA". It matches the Rfam family "Bacterial small subunit ribosomal RNA", at positions 338 to 795 of the family's 1533-position model. The record is from RNAcentral.